Molecule: ribosomal RNA, 840 nt
Filed under: Levilactobacillus brevis
Lineage: Bacteria; Bacillati; Bacillota; Bacilli; Lactobacillales; Lactobacillaceae
Description: bacterial SSU rRNA
Rfam family: Bacterial small subunit ribosomal RNA
Source: RNAcentral
GCAGUCGACGAGCUUCCGUUGAUGACGUGCUUGCACUGAUUUCAACAAUGAAGCGAGUGGCGAACUGGUGAGUAACACGUGGGGAAUCUGCCCAGAAGCAGGGGAUAACACUUGGAAACAGGUGCUAAUACCGUAUAACAACAAAAUCCGCAUGGAUUUUGUUUGAAAGGUGGCUUCGGCUAUCACUUCUGGAUGAUCCCGCGGCGUAUUAGUUAGUUGGUGAGGUAAAGGCCCACCAAGACGAUGAUACGUAGCCGACCUGAGAGGGUAAUCGGCCACAUUGGGACUGAGACACGGCCCAAACUCCUACGGGAGGCAGCAGUAGGGAAUCUUCCACAAUGGACGAAAGUCUGAUGGAGCAAUGCCGCGUGAGUGAAGAAGGGUUUCGGCUCGUAAAACUCUGUUGUUAAAGAAGAACACCUUUGAGAGUAACUGUUCAAGGGUUGACGGUAUUUAACCAGAAAGCCACGGCUAACUACGUGCCAGCAGCCGCGGUAAUACGUAGGUGGCAAGCGUUGUCCGGAUUUAUUGGGCGUAAAGCGAGCGCAGGCGGUUUUUUAAGUCUGAUGUGAAAGCCUUCGGCUUAACCGGAGAAGUGCAUCGGAAACUGGGGAGACUUGAGUGCAGAAGAGGACAGUGGAACUCCAUGUGUAGCGGUGGAAUGCGUAGAUAUAUGGAAGAACACCAGUGGCGAAAGGCGGCUGUCUAGUCUGUAACUGACGCUGAGGCUCGAAAGCAUGGGUAGCGAACAGGAUUAGAUACCCUGGUAGUCCAUGCCGUAACGAUGAGUGCUAAGUGUGGAGGGUUUCGCCCUUCAGUGCUGCAGCUACGCAUUAAGCA